RNAcentral lists this small nuclear RNA (148 nucleotides) under Carlito syrichta (Philippine tarsier). RNAcentral describes it as "U1 spliceosomal RNA (ENSTSYG00000023426.2)". It matches the Rfam family "U1 spliceosomal RNA". From Rfam's summary of the family: U1 is a small nuclear RNA (snRNA) component of the spliceosome (involved in pre-mRNA splicing). Its 5' end forms complementary base pairs with the 5' splice junction, thus defining the 5' donor site of an intron. The record is from Rfam by way of RNAcentral. Lineage: Eukaryota; Metazoa; Chordata; Mammalia; Primates; Tarsiidae.
AUACUUACCUGGCAGGGGAGAUACCAUGAUCACAAAGGUGGUUUUCCCAGGGCAAGGCUUAUCCAUUGCACUCUGGAUGUGCUGACCCCUGCGAUUUCCCCAGAUGUGAGAAACUCGACUGCAUAAUUUGUGGUAGUGGAGGACUGCA